Long non-coding RNA from Quercus lobata, 1437 nucleotides. RefSeq lists it as uncharacterized. NCBI's taxonomy places the organism in Eukaryota, Viridiplantae, Streptophyta, Magnoliopsida, Fagales, Fagaceae. The record is from RefSeq and is a predicted model, not a curated record. The transcript is spliced from 5 exons.
UGAGCCUCUACCUCCCAUUAGAUCAGGUCUGAUCUGAUCUAGAUCUUCCAUCGCUGACCUAUAGCCGCCGAGCUCCUUCCCUGACCACUUCACCAUCUAUGCCGCCUCCAUCUCCGGCCUCUACAUCGCCAUCAAGAACAGCCUCGAUGUCGAACCCAUAAGCCCUCCAUCUCCGCCUCCAUUGCGCUGACCCUCUUCCUUCAAAACAAAAACAUAAAUCCAUCGCUGCCACAACCACCAUCAAAGCUGAACCCACAAGCCCAAACCUCUUCCUCUUCCUCUUCUCCAGAUGGGUUUGUGAUCGAAGAGAUAAAUGGGUCAUUGAACCAACCGACAGUGGUGGUUGAAGAAAAGAAGCUGAAUCGGACGGCUGAGCUCGCUGCUUCGACUGGUGGAGCUUUGGCACUCACUGUGCUUUGUAACAAAGCUCACUCACUCUAAACUCUCUCUCUCUCUCUAAAACCCUCCCCAAACCCUAGCCUCCUCCUCUCUCUCUCUCUUGCUUCCAUGGAGUUUUGGGGUAAGCUUUUCAUCUCCACUAUCAUCAUCUUCCUUGUAUUAGGGUUAGGGUUUCAUAUUCCUCUUUGUAUACCAUACUCACACACUUCUGUCUCUCUCCUUUCAUUUUCGUUCUUGUCCUUAAUAUUUGUAUAUUUGUUUCCCUGUUGUUCAUAUGAUUGUUUGUGUUUUUGUUGCCAUGGUUGUGUUGUUAUGAAGCUUGAAGGUACCCGUUGUUCUACCUACCCUGUUUUUGAAACUGUUUUUGGGUAGCCAUUGCAAGCGAGCCAGCCUGUGGUGUCUACUUCUAGAGUUUCCUCCAUUGUAGAGAAAGAGUUACCAAUGGAGCAAGAGCAAUGUCACAUUUGUAGAGUUACAAGAAAUAUGGGAGACAUAAGCUGAAUUGAGAGAACCAUCCACAAGCGACUGGUCUCACUAGUACUAAGUCUCAGUAAGCUUUAGUCAUGGACAGGACAAUCCUCACCUCUGAUAAAUCAUCCAACUCAUCCCCAUUGAACCCUCCUUCCCGGAUAAUUUGUCAUGUGUGCCAGAAGCAAUUAACAUAAUAUACAUGCCCUCGUUGCAAUUCACGAUACUGCUUCCUCCAGUGCUACAGGGAAAAUGUAGUAGGCUAGCAUGGGAGAUGAUGCUAAAAGGGCAAAGUGUUGGUCACCAAAGGAAAAAAGGCCCUUUCUUUAGAGAAAUUCAGUUAUUAAAGGAAAGAAAAUGAGUAGGGAAAUCGUGAACUUUUGAUGCUGUGAACAGGAGGGUAAGUGAAGAGUAUUUGAGACCCUUUUUUAGAACUUAUGUUCUGCUGUACCAAUGCGGUCAUUGAUAUUGUGGAAAAAAAAAUCCUGUUGAAUGUUGCAUUAAAGAUUGAUAAUUUGUAACUACAUAUUCCUUAAAGAUUGAUAAUUUUCCCGUAUUUGUUAGAGAUUU